RNAcentral lists this ribosomal RNA (396 nucleotides) under uncultured bacterium. RNAcentral's name for it is "partial 16S ribosomal RNA". It matches the Rfam family "Bacterial small subunit ribosomal RNA", at positions 523 to 918 of the family's 1533-position model. The record is from RNAcentral.
AUACGUAGGUGACAAGCGUUAUCCGGAUUUACUGAGCGUAAAGGGCGUGUAGGCGGUCUUGCAAGUCAGAAGUGAAAUUCCUGAGCUCAACUCGGGCGCUGCUUCUGAAACUGCAGGACUUGAGUGCUGGAGGGGAUAGCGGAAUUCCUAGUGGAGCGGUAAAAUGCGCAGAUAUUAGGAAGAACACCGGUGGCGAAGGCGGCUAUCAAGACAGUAACUGACGCUGAGGCGCGAAAGCGUGGGGAGCAAACAGGAUUAGAUACCCUGGUAGUCCACGCUGUAAACGAUGAAUACUAGGUGUGGGGGGACUGACCCCCUCCGUGCCGCAGUUAACACAAUAAGUAUUCCACCUGGGGAGUACGAUCGCAAGAUUGAAACUCAAAUGAAUUGGCGGGG